GGAUGAACGCUGGCGGCGUGCCUAAUACAUGCAAGUCGAGCGAACAGACGAGGAGCUUGCUCCUCUGACGUUAGCGGCGGACGGGUGAGUAACACGUGGAUAACCUACCUAUAAGACUGGGAUAACUUCGGGAAACCGGAGCUAAUACCGGAUAAUAUAUUGAACCGCAUGGUUCAAUAGUGAAAGACGGUUUUGCUGUCACUUAUAGAUGGAUCCGCGCCGCAUUAGCUAGUUGGUAAGGUAACGGCUUACCAAGGCAACGAUGCGUAGCCGACCUGAGAGGGUGAUCGGCCACACUGGAACUGAGACACGGUCCAGACUCCUACGGGAGGCAGCAGUAGGGAAUCUUCCGCAAUGGGCGAAAGCCUGACGGAGCAACGCCGCGUGAGUGAUGAAGGUCUUCGGAUCGUAAAACUCUGUUAUUAGGGAAGAACAAAUGUGUAAGUAACUAUGCACGUCUUGACGGUACCUAAUCAGAAAGCCGCGGCUAACUACG
Molecule: ribosomal RNA, 496 nt
Filed under: uncultured bacterium
Lineage: Bacteria
Description: partial 16S ribosomal RNA
Rfam family: Bacterial small subunit ribosomal RNA
Source: RNAcentral